This 5825-nucleotide long non-coding RNA is filed under the name Homo sapiens (human). RNAcentral's name for it is "HSALNT0291177". The record is from RNAcentral. Lineage: Eukaryota; Metazoa; Chordata; Mammalia; Primates; Hominidae.
GGCAACUCUGUGCACAGACCGAGGAAGGAAACGCCUGGGAGCCAGCAAAGUAUUUCCUUGGUGGUUGGGACAGACCAAGGGUAAAAGGGACAGCCAAUUGAACUAGAGCACAAGUACCACUCCAAUUAUUUGGCAGAGUGUCCAGUAAAGGUCCUCCACAAUACCACCAGACAUCUGCUCCGGGAUGAAUAAGGACGGACUGAUGGGUCAGCUCUUGGCAGUGCCUGACCUCACUGCAUCCUGUUAAGUCUCCAAGGAACACCAAAUUUUCCCCUUGUCGUUGGAGACAUGAGGUAAAGUUGCUCUUGGAAGAUGGAGGCUGGAUGGCCUGCGGGGGCUGACCCGCAGGAUGCUGCACUUCAGGAAAUAGCAGAGAGACAGUUUGGCACAGUUCAUUAUCCCAGGCUGUAGGAUUUUGAAAAACAGCUACCAUGCAGUCCAUGUCUUGUCGAUUAGAGGGCCAUCUGAGUGGAAAGGGGACAAUCUGGGCCUCUGGCCUACCAUGUGUAGGAGCGUAACAAUCGCUUUUAUUUAAAGUGCAGAUGGAAUAUUUAAUCCAUUCUAGCCAGGCAUUUACAUCCUGAUACCCUGUCUCAAUUGCUAUGGUUUGCCUUAGGUUUUCUACUUUUACUACGGAGAUUUUGGUUUUGUCAUUGUGUCUGGGAGGAGUGAUUGAUAGAGGUUGAAGAAGCAAUAAAGCAUAUUUCAAAAAUUCCCUUACUAUCUUUCCUGAAAUGUCAGCUCCCAUACCAUAAAUAUGACUUAAUGAAGGGGAAGAGUUUUCAGAUGUUGCAAUAGUAAUAGUAAGCUGUAUAGGAUUACACUGGUUAUAUUGACAGCUAGAAGGAGUAAUUCUUUUGGUGAAAUGAAUAUAUGGUUUUAAGGACUGACAAAGACCCGUGGAAGCAGUCUAUCUUAGACCUUUAGUGUUCCAUAGGACAUUAGACCAAGCAGAACAUAGAGAUUCUGUUUUAGAGGGACAAGAGUCUGAUUCCCACCAAUUAAUACAACUAGUAUUCUCUGGAUUACUAGUAUCCUUGCAGGAACUCAAUAUGUCUUCCCAAUCUGAGGAAGUCCAAGAGGGACAGAGAUAUUUUUCCGAAGUAGUAAACUGUCUUUGGUUAUGCAAAUCUCCACAGGGUAUAACUAAACAGGCAUCAGAAGUAAUAACUUGAGGUGAGUUAGAUCUAGUUACGUUAAUAAUAAGAUGGGGAGUAGUUAAAGGGAAGAAAAGAAAAAUAAAAGAUAGAUAGAUUAAGCUUUUCUUAACUUUAAUUUGGUAGGGCUUGAUCCUGGAACAAUGACCCACGAUUCCGAAGGUGAUGACGUUUUCUUGACUUGGGUGUGAUGUGUUCAUCCUUUUUCUGCUGUGCCAAUGGCAGUCUCGGUGGUUAGCAGCACGAGGUAGGGUCCUUCCCAGGCUGGCUCGAGUUUUGCUUCUUUCCGUCCUUUGAUGGUCCCCAGGCUGGUGCUGGUGUACUGGAAAUUCUAGGGGUGGUGCCUGUGCUAGAAGACCUCUGGUUUUAAGUGAAAAAAAGGUAGAGGAGAGACCAAGUAUAUAAUUUCUGAGAAACUGAUCCUUUGAUUCAAAUGUGGGGGCAUGAGCAGUGGAAUAUAAGUAAGGCAACCCAUAUAACAUUUCAUAAGGGGACAGGCCAACAUCUUUCCAAGGGGAGGUUCUAAUCCUUAAUAAAACAAUAGGAAGGCAUUUAGCCUAUGGCAACCGGGUCUCUAGGACUAAUUUAGUUAGGUGGCUUUUAAGGGUUUGGUUCAUCCUUUCUACUCUCCCUGAGGAGGAUGGGUGCCAAGGAAUGUGAUAUUCCCACUUUAUGUCUAGUACUUGAGCCAACUUUUUAAUGAUAUGUGCAGUAAAAUGGGUUCCAUUGUCUGAAUCAAUGUUUUCUAUUAGUCCGAACCUGGGUGUAAUAUGUUCAAUUAUUGCUUUAACUACAUUACUAGCGGUUGCACUUGAAAAAGGGAUAGCCUCUACCCAAUGGGUGAAAUGAUCUACUAUUACCAAUAAAUACUUUAGCUGACCAGGUGGGGGCAUUUCAGCGUAAUCAACUUGGACACUUUGAAAUGGUCUUAGUCCUGGAUUUCUUCCUCCAAGUGGUAAUUUUCUUAGGGCUUGUUUAUUUGUUUUCUUACAAAUUAGACAACUGUCUUUAACUUGUUUUGCUAAAGUAUAAAUCUCAAUAUACCCAUAAACCCUGAGAACUGCAUCACACAUAACUUGGGGCUCCAGUGAGUUCUUUGAUGUAGUUAAGAUAAAACCUCCCUCAAAAGAGGCUUAGAUAAUAUUUCUUUCUGGUCUGGGAGUAUCUAUUUCCCUUCUGAAUUCCUUUGAGCUCCUAUUUUUACUAAUUUUUCCUUCUCAGUAUGACAGAAAAUAGGAACUACAGUGGGAGAAGGAAGACAAGGAGUUAAGUGAAAGAUGGUGUCUCAGAGGAAACAGCAGCUUGCUUGGCUCUUUGAUCCACAAGAGUAUUUCCUCAACUUUCAAAAUAAAAGUUGUGUUGGUGUCCUGGAACAUGGACAAUGUCUAUUUCCUCUGGUAACUGAAGAUUAUUCAGGACACAAUUAAUGUUUCAUAAGCAAGAUCUUGACCUUUACUAUUAAUAAGGCCCCGUUCGGCCCAAAUUUUUCCAAAUGUGUGAGACACCCCAAAAGCAUACUUAGAGUCAGUAUAGAUGGUUCCUACCUGGUUCUAUAAGUAUUUUAGGGCCUGGCUAAGUGCAAAUAGCUCACAGGCUUGGGGAGACCAACUAUUGGGUUAUCUUCCUGAUUCAACUUCUUUGAGAGUUUCCCCAUCGAUUACUGCAUACCCAUUAUGUCGUUUUCCCUCAAUUACCUGGGAGGAACCAUCUGUAAAUAAAGCUGCCCUGUCUUAAAGGGGGUUUCUACUAAAUCUGGGCUGACUUUCGUAUGGUAGUCAAUUAAAUCUAGACAUAGGUGUUCCCUUUUUAGCAGUGGGUUCCCUGUCAAGAAACCCACUGGGUUAAGUGAAUUGUCUGUAGUUAAGGUUAAAUCAUCUUUUUCUAAUAGGAUAGCUUCAUAUUUUAAAAUUCUGGAGUCAGUGAGCCAUCUUCCUGCCUUUUGGCUUAGGAUAGCUUGACUUGUUGAGGUGUACUCACUGUCAGAUAUCCUCCAAAAGUUAAUUUCCUGCUUUCUUCAACCAAUAUCACCGUGGCCACAAUGGAUUGAAUACGCUGAGGCCAUCUGCAGGCGACUGGAUCUAGAACUUUUGACAGGAAGGCCACUGGCUGUCGGCAGCCCCCAUGUUCUUGGGUAAGCACUCCUAGAGCCACUCCAUUAUCUACGUUAACAAAAAGAUGAAAUGGUUUUUCUAGAGAGGGUAGGGCCAGGACAGGAGCAGUUAUGAGUCUUUCCUUUUACUCCCCAACCUGAUCAACCUCUUCAGAAGUCCAUAUGAAGAGAUCAGGUUCUCCUUUAGUUAGCUUCUCAUAUGGAAGUUUACUUUUUAAUGCAUAUGAGUCAAUCCAUAAAUGGCAGUAUCCAACUAACCCUAAAAAUUUCCUGAGUUCUUGCUUGGUUUGAGGCAAGGGCAAAGACACAAUUCCUUUGACCCAUUUGGGUCCUAUUCUUCCUUUGUCUGCAUUUAUUAAAUGGCCUAAGUAUUUAACUUCAGGUUCUACAUAUUGAAGCUUUCUCUUUGAGACCCAUACCCUUCAAACUGUAAGUGGUUAAGAACGUGUGUAGAAAACCCAGCUACCUUCUCUAUGUCUUCUCCAGAUAUAAGAAUAUCAUCCACAUAUUGGAGCAAACGUAGCUGCUUUGGGACAACAACUUUUUCUAAUACUUGCUCUAAGAUUUGACCAAAAAGAUUGAGUGAAUCUGUAAAUCCUUGGGGUAAAACUGUCCAUCUAUACUGUUGUUUCCAUCUUGAAUGGGGACCUUCCCAUUCAAAAGUAAAUAUAUCCUGGCUGUCUUCAGCCAAGGGACCUGCCCAGAAUGCAUCCUUUAAGUCUAUUACUGUGAACCACUGAUGACUGUGUGAAAUUUUACUAAGAAUGGUGUAAGGGUUGGGUACAACAGAAUGAGUGGUCUGGACUAUUUGAUUGAUAGCUGUAAGGUCCUGCACUAGUUGGUAUGACCCAUCUGAUUUUUUGACUGGUAAAAUUGGAGUGUUGUAUGAGGACAUACAAGGUUCAAGUAGUCCAUCUUUAAUAAGACUCUCAAUUACAGGCUUUAACCCUACCCUUCUUCUAAAGGGAUAGGGUAUUGCUUUCUUCUCACUACCUCCCCUGGAGUCCUUAACCUGAUAUGUAUUGGAGGAAUUCGUAGCUUUCCUCAGUUUCCUUCCCUUGGCCAGACAUCGAGAUGAAUGGACUUCUCAUCUGCUGUGGUAAGCAAAUUUAAGGAAGUUAGAACACCCUUUGGGCCAACUUGCAGACCUAUACCUAGUUUUAACAUUGAAUCUCUCCCUAACAGAUUGGUUCCUGCUUCAGGAAUUAACAAAAGUUGAAUACAAGUUGACUGAUCUUGGUAUUUUGCUUCUGUAUUUUCUAAAACUUUCUCCUUAAAUUCUUCUCCUUUUACCCCAGAAACUAGCAAUUCCUCUGUAGAACAAGUUAAAUCAGCUGGGGGAAAACAAACAGACAAGCAAGCAGCUCCUGAGUCAAUUAAAAAGGUCUUGGCUGGAAAUUUUGGUCUGCUGCCAGAACAUUUUGGCCCAGAGGAUGGUCACACUCCCAGACCACCACAGCAGCUCUGCGGAUCAUGUUCUGCUCUUCCCCUGAAAAGAGGAUACCUAGGAUGGACAUUAAUUCAGCCCAGGUAUAUAACUGCGGGCCUAAAAACUGAUCAAUUUGAUCUGCCACUCCAUAAGGAUCAUCUAAUAAUGGCUUGAGUUCUUUUUUUUUAAGACUUCGGACUUCGGAACCAGUUAAGGGAGCAUUUACAAGGCAAAUUGCCCCCCCUUGUGGUACCUCCCUUAAAAGAAAGAACUUUGAAGAUGAAUCCUUAGAAGUGGGGAGGGGGAAAGGAAGACUCUGAAUAUCCUUUCUACAUUGUUGUAUUUCCCGUUGAAGUCCUUUCUUUAAAGAAGGAUAUUCAGACUGACAAAACUUGGGUCCCUGGGACAAUAACUUCCAGGAGUCCGGGUUGUAUGGGGGAGGAAUAACCUGAGUAUGAGGAUCCAGAGGAGAGUCUGGAACUGGGUCUGGGAUGGGGUUUGGGGCGGCGGCAAUUGCUUGAGGAGGGAGUGGUGGGUUUUUGAGAAGUGGGGGAUGGUGGUCUAGAGGGUCCCACUUACUCGUGGAUGUCUUAGAAGUAGAAACUUUGUUCUCAGAUGAGACAGCCUCUGAGUCCUUUUUACCUUCUAGUUCCUUCCCAUCUAUUCUUAGCGGGUAGAGAAGAACGGCCCCUGCCGCCAGCACAGAGCAUAGUCUAUUUCUUCUUGUGAGAGAGGACUCUUGUCAUUAACAUACAUUAUUAGGAGUUGACAAACCCAGUCCCCAUCCAACCCAAACUUUGGCCAGAAAACUGUGGGCUUGAGGAUUGGCUCUUUAGUCCAAAUAAAGCAGCAAUACUUUAUCAUUUGCUGCUUUCCCUUGAGUUUAGUCCUCUCAUUGUCUUUCCAAUACUUUAACAUAAGCCCUAAAGGACUAUCGGUGGGGGGGAUUUGACCAUCUGCAUUCUUUCCCUUCCCUGUUUUACUAGAAAUAUUCCCUAUACUGAGUACCAGUUAGACUCAACCUCUCGACCCAGAGUUUUCUUGCUUAUCCCGUUUUCCAGAGGCUUGCUUAAAACAACCUCACGUAUGGCCGGGCGCAGUGGCUCACACCUGUAAUCCCAGCACUUUG